RNAcentral lists this ribosomal RNA (460 nucleotides) under uncultured bacterium. Its description in RNAcentral is "partial 16S ribosomal RNA". It matches the Rfam family "Bacterial small subunit ribosomal RNA", at positions 338 to 795 of the family's 1533-position model. The record is from RNAcentral.
CCUACGGGAGGCAGCAGUGAGGAAUAUUGGUCAAUGGGCGUAAGCCUGAACCAGCCAAGUCGCGUGAGGGAUGAAGGUCCUAUGGAUCGUAAACUUCUUUUAUAAGGGAAUAAAGUGAGGGACGUGUCCUAUUUUGUAUGUACCUUAUGAAUAAGGAUCGGCUAACUCCGUGCCAGCAGCCGCGGUAAUACGGAGGAUCCGAGCGUUAUCCGGAUUUAUUGGGUUUAAAGUGAGCGUAGGCGGCAUGUUAAGUCAGUGGUGAAAGUCUGUGGCUCAACCAUAGAAUUGCAAUUGAAACUGGCGGACUUGAGUAUGUUUGAGGAAAGCGGAAUUCGAGGUGUAGCGGUGAAAUGCUUAGAUAUCACGCAGAACCCCGAUGGCGAAGGCAGCCUGCCAAGCCAUGACUGACGCUGAUGCGCGAAAGCGUGGGGAUCAAACAGGAUUAGAUACCCUUGUAGUC